UGGGAUUAGAUACUCUCCAGUAGUCAUGGCCGUAAACGAUGGAUACUAGAGGUUGCAGAUAUCGAUCUCUGCUGUGCUCACGCUAAAGCAAUAAGUAUACCGCCUGGGGUGUACGCACGCAAGUGUGAUACUCAAAGGAAGUGACGGGGAUCCGCAUAAACGCUGGAACAUGUGGUUUAAUUCGAAGCAACGCGAAGAACCUUACCAGGGCUUGACAUCCUGAGAACUUUCCAGAGAUGGAGUGGUGCCCUUCGGGGAACUUAGUGUACAGGUGCUGAACGGUUGUCGUCAGGUCAGAUCGUGAGAUGUUGGAGUAAGUCCUGAAACGAGCGCAACCCACGUUGUUAGUUGCCCGUAAGAGCCCGUUAUUCCAGUGCUCUGUCAGCGAGUAGGACGGUGAUAAACCGGACGAAGGUAUGGAGGACGUCAAAUCUUUAAGCCCAGUAUGUCAUGGUCUACACACGAAGUUCAAUGGCUGGGACACACGAGCAGCCUAUCAGCGAUGAUGAGCGAAUCUCUGAAACCUACUUUGCAGUUCCGAUCGUAGUCAGCAACUCGACUACAUGAAG
Molecule: ribosomal RNA, 569 nt
Filed under: uncultured organism
Description: bacterial SSU rRNA
Rfam family: Bacterial small subunit ribosomal RNA
Source: RNAcentral